GUGGAUGAGGCAUGCAAGUCGAACGAAUAAGGGGCAACUCUUAUUAGUGGCGGAAGGGUUAGUAAUACAUGGGUAAUCUGCCUUUAACUUUGGAAUAACGGUUGGAAACGAUCGCUAAUACCAAAUGUGGUGAGGAGAGGCAACUCUCUUUCAUUAAAGUGGGGGAUCGCAAGACCUCGCGGUUAAAGAAGAGCCCAUGCGAUAUCAGCUAGUUGGUGAGGUAAUGGCUCACCAAGGCUAAGACGUCUAGGCGGAUUGAGAGAUUG
This 266-nucleotide ribosomal RNA is filed under the name uncultured Chlamydiales bacterium. Its description in RNAcentral is "partial 16S ribosomal RNA". It matches the Rfam family "Bacterial small subunit ribosomal RNA", at positions 44 to 302 of the family's 1533-position model. Lineage: Bacteria; Pseudomonadati; Chlamydiota; Chlamydiia; Chlamydiales. The record is from RNAcentral.